UCGCGGCCUAUCAGCUUGUUGGUGAGGUAAUGGCUCACCAAGGCGACGACGGGUAGCCGGCCUGAGAGGGUGACCGGCCACACUGGAACUGAGAUACGGUCCAGACUCCUACGGGAGGCAGCAGUGGGGAAUAUUGCACAAUGGGCGCAAGCCUGAUGCAGCAACGCCGCGUGAGGGAUGAAGGCCUUCGGGUUGUAAACCUCUUUUAGCAGGGAAGAAGCGAAAGUGACGGUACCUGCAGAAAAAGCACCGGCUAACUACGUGCCAGCGGCCGCGGUAAUACGUAGGGUGCGAGCGUUGUCCGGAAUUACUGGGCGUAAAGAGCUCGUAGGUGGUUUGUCGCGUCGUCUGUGAAAUCCCGGGGCUUAACCUCGGGCGUGCAGGCGAUACGGGCAUAACUUGAGUGCUGUAGGGGAGACUGGAAUUCCGGGUGUAGCGGUGAAAUGCGCAGAUAUCAGGAGGAACACCAAUGGCGAAGGCAGGUCUCUGGGCAGUAACUGACGCUGAGGAGCGAAAGCAUGGGUAGCGAACAGGAUUAGAUACCCUGGUAGUCCAUGCCGUAAACGGUGGGCGCUAGGUGUAGGGGACUUCCACGUCUUCUGUGCCGCAGCUAACGCAUUAAGCGCCCCGCCUGGGGAGUACGG
Molecule: ribosomal RNA, 644 nt
Filed under: uncultured bacterium
Lineage: Bacteria
Description: bacterial SSU rRNA
Rfam family: Bacterial small subunit ribosomal RNA
Source: RNAcentral